AUGCUGAGUCCCAGACUUCCAGGAGGUGGGCAGUGGAAGGGCACUGCGUCCAGCACUCUGUCCAGGCAGAGGAGAGACGCGCGGGCGCAGGAGGGGGUCCUGUGUGGCACGUGGAGAGACCCCUGUCAGCGCUGUAACAGCUAUUUUGAAACAAACUGCGCUAUGGCUGAGAUGGAGACUACAUUUGGUGGUUUAUUGAUCACGCAACAGAACGACCACCGAGAAGAGAAAAUGCUGUGCAGAAGGCCUGGAGGGAUGUGGGAGCCAGCAGCUGGAGGCAGCCUCUGGGUCGAGAGCUCUGGGUCUGUCCCCCAGUGGGGCCUGGGAGCCUGCCCGAGGGGCCCCGGGGACCCCAGGCACCCUUCUAGACCCACUUCUUCAAUUCUAAGUAGACAUGUAACACCUGCAACGGUAUCCAUGAACACUUGGAAGUCCCACGCUCCCCAGGCCCUGUUUGACCCCUGUGAUGCAAGCCCUGGUCUUUCUCCACUUGGCCUUCUCCUCACCUCCACACCCUUGCCGCAUUUGGCCCAGGAGCAGCUUCCCAGGGCCUGGCCUCCGCCGCAUAUGCCGCGUCCACAGCUCACUGUGCACCAGCUCGGCCAGCUGCUCCCCCAAGCCCCUGGACCACGGCUUCGCCUCCUAACCGGGCUCCCACUGUUCUUGUCCCCGCCUACUCUUCUCCACCAAGGCGCCACCGUGAUCCUUCGCGAUCACACCAAGUGAAGGAAGCCAGGCUCAGAAGACCACAAACUGGACAGCUCCGACCAAGGUCCAAUACGAUACUUCAGAAAAGGAGCAAACUACGGAGACAGCAGAAGCCCGGGGACUGCGCUUUGUGGGGGGGGGGGGGUGGGAGGGGAAGGGGUGCUCAUGGUGGGUUUCUAGGACAGUGUCCGAUACCGCUGCAGGGGCUGCGUGGUGUGCACUGGCUAGACCCACGGAUGACACCAAAGGUGACCUCGAAUAUAAACCAUACCCUUGAGUGAAUAACAGGGCUCUGGUUCAUCGGUUGUAACAAGAACACCACAGGAAUGCAAGAUUCUAAUAAUAGGGGAAUGUGUGUGUGUGUGUGUGUGUGAGUGUGUGAGUGAGUGUGUGGCUGGGUGGGUGAUGGGGUGAGAGGGAACUCUCUGUACUUUCCACUACAUUUUUCUGUAAACCUGAAACAAGUCAAAAAAUAAACUCUAUUAAUUAAAAAAAUCA
This 1206-nucleotide long non-coding RNA is filed under the name Oryctolagus cuniculus (rabbit). RNAcentral's name for it is "lncRNA (ENSOCUG00000034028.1)". Lineage: Eukaryota; Metazoa; Chordata; Mammalia; Lagomorpha; Leporidae. The record is from RNAcentral.